This 253-nucleotide ribosomal RNA is filed under the name uncultured bacterium. RNAcentral's name for it is "partial 16S ribosomal RNA". It matches the Rfam family "Archaeal small subunit ribosomal RNA", at positions 474 to 727 of the family's 1478-position model. The record is from RNAcentral.
UACCAGCACCCCGAGUGGUCGGGACGAUUAUUGGGCCUAAAGCAUCCGUAGCCGGUCCUGCAAGUCUUCCGUUAAAUCCAGCUGCUCAACAGAUGGGCUGCGGGGGAUACUACAGGGCUAGGAGGCGGGAGAGGCAAGCGGUACUCAGUGGGUAGGGGUAAAAUCCUUUGAUCCAUUGAAGACCACCAGUGGCGAAGGCGGCUUGCCAGAACGCGCUCGACGGUGAGGGAUGAAAGCUGGGGGAGCAAACCGG